Molecule: non-coding RNA, 73 nt
Organism: Potamilus streckersoni
Lineage: Eukaryota; Metazoa; Mollusca; Bivalvia; Unionida; Unionidae
Source: the annotation of a GenBank genome assembly
GCUCCGGUAGCCUAGUGGUCAGAGCGUCCGCCUCGGAUGCGGAAGGUUGCGGGUUCUAUCCCUGGUCGAGUCA